This is a small nucleolar RNA of Oryza sativa (Asian cultivated rice), 107 nucleotides long. It matches the Rfam family "Plant small nucleolar RNA R71". Rfam says of the family: R71 is a member of the C/D box family of snoRNAs containing the C (UGAUGA) and D (CUGA) box motifs. Multiple nearly identical copies of this snoRNA have been identified in Arabidopsis, and it is thought to function as a 2'-O-ribose methylation guide for 18S ribosomal RNA. NCBI's taxonomy places the organism in Eukaryota, Viridiplantae, Streptophyta, Magnoliopsida, Poales, Poaceae. The record is from Rfam.
AUCCCAUGAUGAGGAUAGGCGGCCACAUAUUCUUGAAGUUGUUCCCACGCCUCAGGAAUGGAUUCAUCCCUCGUCUGCUGGAAACACGAAAUCCUUCCGCGAAGGGC